Molecule: ribosomal RNA, 506 nt
Filed under: uncultured bacterium
Lineage: Bacteria
Description: partial 16S ribosomal RNA
Rfam family: Bacterial small subunit ribosomal RNA
Source: RNAcentral
AUUGAACGCUGGCGGCAGGCCUAACACAUGCAAGUCGAACGGUAGCACAGAGGAGCUUGCUCCUUGGGUGACGAGUGGCGGACGGGUGAGUAAUGUCUGGGAAACUGCCUGAUGGAGGGGGAUAACUACUGGAAACGGUAGCUAAUACCGCAUAACGUCGCAAGACCAAAGAGGGGGACCUUCGGGCCUCUUGCCAUCAGAUGUGCCCAGAUGGGAUUAGCUAGUAGGUGGGGUAAUGGCUCACCUAGGCGACGAUCCCUAGCUGGUCUGAGGGGAGGACCAGCCACACUAGAACUGAGACACUGGCCAGACCCCUACGGGAGGCAGCAGUGGGGAAUAUUGAGCAAUGGGCGCAAGCCGGAUGCAGCCAUGCCGCGUGUAUGAAGAAGGCCUUCGGGUUGUAAAGUACUUUCAGCGGGGAGGAAGGCGAUACGGUUAAUAACCGUGUCGAUUGACGUUACCCGCAGAAGAAGCACCGGCUAACUCCGUGCCAGCAGCCGCCGUAA